GAUGAACGCUGGCGGCGUGCUUAACACAUGCAAGUCGAACGGAAAGGCUCCUGCUUGCCGGGGUACUCGAGUGGCGAACGGGUGAGUAACACGUGGGUGAUCUGUCCUGCACUUCGGGAUAUGCCUGGGAAACUGGGUCUCAUACCGGCUAGGACGUUGGUUUGGAUGCCAUUGUGGAGUGUUUUUCGGUGUGGGAUGAGCUCGCGGCCUAUCAGCUUGUUGGUGGGGUAAUGGCCUACCAAGGCGUCGACGGGUAGCCGGCCUGAGAGGGGGGACGGCCACAUUAGGACUGAGAUAAGGCCCAGACUCGUACGGGAGGCAGGAGUGGAGAAGAUAGCACAAUAGGCGGAAGCCAGAUGCAGCGACGCCGCGUGGGGGAUGACGGCCUUCGGGUUGUAAACUACUGUCGCUAUAGACGAAGCGCUAGUGACGGUACCUGGAGAAGAAGCACCGGCUAACUACGUG
RNAcentral lists this ribosomal RNA (465 nucleotides) under uncultured bacterium. RNAcentral's name for it is "partial 16S ribosomal RNA". It matches the Rfam family "Bacterial small subunit ribosomal RNA", at positions 28 to 507 of the family's 1533-position model. The record is from RNAcentral.